Molecule: ribosomal RNA, 494 nt
Filed under: uncultured bacterium
Lineage: Bacteria
Description: partial 16S ribosomal RNA
Rfam family: Bacterial small subunit ribosomal RNA
Source: RNAcentral
GAUGAACGCUAGCGGCAGGCUUAACACAUGCAAGUCGAGGGGUAUUGGUUUUCGGACCAAGAGACCGGCGCACGGGUGCGUAACGCGUAUGCAAUCUACCUUUUGCAGAGGGAUAGCCCAGAGAAAUUUGGAUUAAUACCUCAUAGUGUAGUAGUUUCGCAUGAAACGACUAUUAAAGUUCCAACGGCAAAAGAUGAGCAUGCGUCCCAUUAGCUAGUUGGUAAGGUAACGGCUUACCAAGGCAACGAUGGGUAGGGGUCCUGAGAGGGAGAUCCCCCACACUGGUACUGAGACACGGACCAGACUCCUACGGGAGGCAGCAGUGAGGAAUAUUGGACAAUGGGCGCAAGCCUGAUCCAGCCAUGCCGCGUGCAGGAUGACGGUCCUUUGGAUUGUAAACUGCUUUUGUACAGGAAGAAACACUCCCUCGUGAGGGAGCUUGACGGUACUGUAAGAAUAAGGAUCGGCUAACUCCGUGCCAGCCGCCGCGGUAA